GUGCUCAUUCAGCAGUACACACACUGAGAUGAAACAUGGCGGAGGAGAUGAGUGUAGCCCCUGCACAAAGAUUAUGGGUACAUCGGUGAAGCACUCCAUAUUUUU
RNAcentral lists this small nuclear RNA (105 nucleotides) under Carlito syrichta (Philippine tarsier). Lineage: Eukaryota; Metazoa; Chordata; Mammalia; Primates; Tarsiidae. The record is from RNAcentral.